Molecule: long non-coding RNA, 2695 nt
Organism: Leptidea sinapis
Lineage: Eukaryota; Metazoa; Arthropoda; Insecta; Lepidoptera; Pieridae
Exons: 2
Source: RefSeq, a predicted model, not a curated record
AUAAUAUCUGAAACAAAUAAUAUACAUGCUUGUAAGACUAUAAAUGACAUACACAAAUAGAAAUACUUAAAUAAUUAAUUAAUAUAAGUACUAAAUAAUAUUUACAACUUAAUCUUAUUUAUUUUAAUAUAUUUACACAAAAUAUUUACAAAAGGAGUGUAAACUAGGGAGAGGAGACAUUUAACGGAGGUUGGACGGGGGACUUCAGCGGGUAUAUAAUUGUGCAGAGGAGAUUGCAUUAAGGGACAACUAAAGAAUAAAUGAUCCAUGUUUCCCUCAUCAAGGCCACAAUCACAUAGAGAAUGAUCCCUAAUUCUAAGUUUUGCUAGAAAGACUGGAGUGCAGGCAUGGUUUAAACGGUAGAGCACAAGUCAUGAGUGAAUAUUUCUGAAUACUGAAAGGAACCUGAAUGAGCAGCUGAUCUAGCACAGGCAUCUGCAUUUUCAUUAUCAGAGAUGCCCAUGUGACCUGGAAUCCAAGCUAAAACUAUGUUAAUUUUGAGUUCAUAGCACUCUUUCAAAGUUUCUCUUAUUUUGAGAAUGAUGGGAAACUGACUUUUUGUCUUAAACGGAUUUGAGAGAAUUGAUUGGAGGCAACUUUUAGAGUCUGAAAGGAUAAUAGAAUUGUUCAUGUUGUGAGACUUAACAAAUAGAAUAGCUUCAAGAAUGGCGAUUGAUUCCCCUGUAAUCACAGAAGUGGUAGGUGGGCAGCUAUAACUCAGUAUAAUUCUUGUUGAGGGAAUCCAUACUGCAGCCCCAACCGGACUCAUGUCUGUUUUUGAAGCAUCCGUGUAGAUUUUAUACCAAUGUCGAAAAUCUGAGUCCAUUAUAUGAGAAAAAGUUUUAUUUGCUUCUAUAGAAAACUUAUCAACACCUAAGUCUAAAAUUACUGAGGGUUGGAAAGUAAGAGCAUUGAAAGGCAUAGAAAAUAAAGGCAAUUUAGAAUAUUGAAAGAGAGGGUUAGAGAGCUGAGAAAAUAAAAGGUAACUAUUUAUAACGCAAGGUCUUUUGUCUUCAGGUACAAUAUUAUUAUCAUUGUAUAAAACAGCUAAUUGUUCUGAUUUUUGGAGUAAGGGAUGAGCUCGGCAGCCAGCUAGUUUAAAGAAAAAUUUAUUGGCAAGGAAUUGUCUACGUAGUGAGAGGGGAGGAUCCACACAUUCUACUUGCAUUGCAUUAAUAGGUCUGGAUUUCAUAGCUCCCAAUACUAUACGUAAACAUUUAGCCUGAAUUCUGUCCAAUUUAUUUAGACCUGCUUUGUUUGCUGGGAUUAAGAAAAUAGUGCCAUAAUCUAAAUGAGUGCGAAUUAUGGCAUUGUAUAGUAAUUUUUGAGUGACGGGGUAAGCUCCCCACCAGACACCAGACAAUGAGCGAAGAAUAUUAAUAUUUUUCUCACAUUUCUGUGAGACAUAAUCAAAAUGCUUGACGCCAGAUAAUUUGUGAUCCAACCAAAUACCCAAAAACUUAACAUUAUUAACAAUUGGUAGAUCAACAUCAUAAAUUUUAAUUUUAAUAGGUGGAAGAAUUCUUUUAUUUGUAAAUAAAACUACCUUACUUUUAGAUGUUGAUAGAGACAGUCCAUGUUGUGUUAAAUAUUCAGAAAGAUAAUCAAGAGCAUUAUUUAAAUGAUUAGAUGAAUCUUGUAUAGACUUGUCAGAAGAAUACAGGACAAUGUCAUCUGCAUAUUGCAGUAUCUGACAGAAAGGUGUAACGGUACUGUUGAGGUCAUGGGUAUACAGAUUAUAAAGAAGGGGACUAAGGACUGAGCCUUGAGGUAAACCUUUCCAAACUGACUUAGGAGGGAGGUAAGAGGAUGGACCUUUAAUAGUGAUGGAUCUCUCCAUUAACAUGUUACAUAUGAAACGGGAUAACUUCACGGGGAUACUCAGCUGGUUGAGUUUACUCCUGAGUAGGGGAAGUGAAACGUUAUCAUAUGCAGAUUCUAUAUCAAGAAAAACUCCCACAAGGUGUUCUUUUCUGAGGAGUGCUAUUCUAAUGUCAGUUGUAAGGAUACCUAAGCUAUCUAAGGAGCUCUUGCCCUUUCUGAAACCGUACUGGGAGUUGGAAAGGAGAUUAUUGGUUUCAACAAACCACUCAAGUCUUUGUUUAAUCAUGAUUUCAGAAACUUUUGCAAGAGCAGAAGAGAGGGCAAUUGGCCUAUAGCUGGUAGCUUCAGAUGGAUUCUGACCAGGUUUAAGUAAUGGAAUAAUUACCUGAUUUUUCCAAGGUGGAGGGAUGGAACCAAGAUCAAAAAGGUUAUUGAUUAUGCUAAGAUAAUAUUCCUUGGUUGUAGAUGAUGAAUUUUUAAUGAAAGAGUAUGGGAUUCCAUCUGCCCCAGGAGCAGAGUCAACUAGGCCAUCCAGAGCAAGAAGAAGUUCAGAGAAUGAGAAGGGGGACUCUAAACUGUGAGUUGAGGCAAGAGGGAUUGGGGGGGAUGGAAAAUAGUCCAUAUUUGGAACUGAAGGGGGGGACAUCCUAUCUGAAAAGGAAUCAAGCCAUACAGAAGGAUCCACACUAAAAUCACACAUUUGAUCACAAAAUGAACCUCUAAAUUUUUUAAUUUGUUUCCAGUCAGUUGAGGAUGGAGUGCUUGGUUUUAAAUUCUGGCAAAAAUUAAUCCAACCUUGUUUUUUCUUUUUUCUGAAUAAAUGGGUAGCCUUCGCCGCCACUUUUUUAUAAUAAAUAAAGUUUGACAUGGA